This 493-nucleotide ribosomal RNA is filed under the name uncultured bacterium. Its description in RNAcentral is "partial 16S ribosomal RNA". It matches the Rfam family "Bacterial small subunit ribosomal RNA", at positions 28 to 523 of the family's 1533-position model. The record is from RNAcentral.
GACGAACGCUGGCGGCGUGCUUAACACAUGCAAGUCGAACGCUGAAGCCCUUUCGGGGGUGGCUGAGUGGCGAACGGGUGAGGAACACGUUGGUAAUCUGCCCUGUACAUCGGGCUAAGCCUUGGAAACGGGGUCUAACACCGGGUAGGACCUGUCUGCGCAUGGGGGUGGGGGGAAAGUUCCGCCGGUAGCGGAUGAGCCCGCGGCCUAUCAGCUGGUUGGUAGGGUAGUGGCCUACCAAGGCGACGACGGGUAGCAGGCCUGAGAGGGUGACCCGUCACACUGGGAAUGAGACACGGCCAAGACUCCUACGGGAGGCAGCAGUGGGGAAUCUUGCGCAAUGGGCGAAAGCCUGACGCAGCAACGCCGCGUGGGGGAUGACGGCCUUAGGGUUGUAAACCUCUUUCGACAUCGACGAAGGGGCCCUGUUGUGGGGUUUUGACGGUAGGUGUAGAAGAAGCACCGGCUAACUACGUGCCAGCCGCCGCUGUAA